This 253-nucleotide ribosomal RNA is filed under the name uncultured bacterium. RNAcentral's name for it is "partial 16S ribosomal RNA". It matches the Rfam family "Bacterial small subunit ribosomal RNA", at positions 524 to 776 of the family's 1533-position model. The record is from RNAcentral.
UACGUAGGGGGCAAGCGUUGUCCGGAAUUAUUGGGCGUAAAGCGCGCGCAGGCGGUCCUUUAAGUCUGAUGUGAAAGCCCACGGCUCAACCGUGGAGGGUCAUUGGAAACUGGGGGACUUGAGUGCAGGAGAGAAGAGUGGAAUUCCACGUGUAGCGGUGAAAUGCGUAGAGAUGUGGAGGAACACCAGUGGCGAAGGCGGCUAUCUGGACGAUGACUGACGCUGAGACGCGAAAGCGUGGGGAGCAAACAGG